RNAcentral lists this ribosomal RNA (465 nucleotides) under Vreelandella stevensii. RNAcentral describes it as "partial 16S ribosomal RNA". It matches the Rfam family "Bacterial small subunit ribosomal RNA", at positions 338 to 795 of the family's 1533-position model. Lineage: Bacteria; Pseudomonadati; Pseudomonadota; Gammaproteobacteria; Oceanospirillales; Halomonadaceae. The record is from RNAcentral.
CCUACGGGGAGCAGCAGUGGGGAAUAUUGGACAAUGGGCGAAAGCCUGAUCCAGCCAUGCCGCGUGUGUGAAGAAGGCCUUCGGGUUGUAAAGCACUUUCAGUGGGGAAGAAAGCCUUGGGGCUAAUACCCUCGAGGAAGGACAUCACCCACAGAAGAAGCACCGGCUAACUCCGUGCCAGCAGCCGCGGUAAUACGGAGGGUGCGAGCGUUAAUCGGAAUUACUGGGCGUAAAGCGCGCGUAGGCGGUCUGAUAAGCCGGUUGUGAAAGCCCCGGGCUCAACCUGGGAACGGCAUCCGGAACUGUCAAGCUAGAGUGCAGGAGAGGAAGGUAGAAUUCCCGGUGUAGCGGUGAAAUGCGUAGAGAUCGGGAGGAAUACCAGUGGCGAAGGCGGCCUUCUGGACUGACACUGACGCUGAGGUGCGAAAGCGUGGGUAGCAAACAGGAUUAGAUACCCCAGUAGUC